Long non-coding RNA from Perca flavescens (yellow perch), 506 nucleotides. RefSeq lists it as uncharacterized. Lineage: Eukaryota; Metazoa; Chordata; Actinopteri; Perciformes; Percidae. The transcript has 4 exons. The record is from RefSeq and is a predicted model, not a curated record.
AAAUAAAAAGGACAGUCCAUCCUCAGCCUGAUAACGACAGUAUAAAAGGAAGCUAGCAGCCUGGCAGAAACCAUCUGAGGUAUCAACACUACACAAGGCACAAUUUACCAGAGAUCGGUGUACAGACACGAGAAAACAUGAAGACUGUGAUUCUUGCUCUUCUGGUGUUGCUGGUUGUCAGCCACGGUGAAGCCUUGACGUGUUGGUGUGGAGGCUUGAGGAAAUGUGCAGGCCGUACAGAGGUCUGCUCUGGCUCCAAUGACGUCUGUGCCAGUGUCAGAUUUGCUCAAUACCCUGCGAACAAAAACAAUUUCUGGGGUUGCUACACUGAAAGUAACUGCAGGAAGCUAAAUUAUCCUGGUGUAGCAUCUUGCACGUCCUGCAGGACUGACCUGUGUCAGUGAUUACGCAUCACAUCUUUCAGUGACUGAAUAAUCUGAAUAAAUGUGCAUGUGUUGUGUACUUUUGCAUUAUCAUAAUAAAGAUCAGUUGCAACUUUUGUCCUA